RNAcentral lists this ribosomal RNA (2925 nucleotides) under Shigella sonnei. Its description in RNAcentral is "bacterial LSU rRNA". It matches the Rfam family "Bacterial large subunit ribosomal RNA". Lineage: Bacteria; Pseudomonadati; Pseudomonadota; Gammaproteobacteria; Enterobacterales; Enterobacteriaceae. The record is from RNAcentral.
GGGUUGUGAGGUUAAGCGACUAAGCGUACACGGUGGAUGCCCUGGCAGUCAGAGGCGAUGAAGGACGUGCUAAUCUGCGAUAAGCGUCGGUAAGGUGAUAUGAACCGUUAUAACCGGCGAUUUCCGAAUGGGGAAACCCAGUGUGUUUCGACACACUAUCAUUAACUGAAUCCAUAGGUUAAUGAGGCGAACCGGGGGAACUGAAACAUCUAAGUACCCCGAGGAAAAGAAAUCAACCGAGAUUCCCCCAGUAGCGGCGAGCGAACGGGGAGGAGCCCAGAGCCUGAAUCAGUGUGUGUGUUAGUGGAAGCGUCUGGAAAGGCGCGCGAUACAGGGUGACAGCCCCGUACACAAAAAUACACAUAUUGUGAGCUCGAUGAGUAGGGCGGGACACGUGGUAUCCUGUCUGAAUAUGGGGGGACCAUCCUCCAAGGCUAAAUACUCCUGACUGACCGAUAGUGAACCAGUACCGUGAGGGAAAGGCGAAAAGAACCCCGGCGAGGGGAGUGAAAAAGAACCUGAAACCGUGUACGUACAAGCAGUGGGAGCACGCUUAGGCGUGUGACUGCGUACCUUUUGUAUAAUGGGUCAGCGACUUAUAUUCUGUAGCAAGGUUAACCGAAUAGGGGAGCCGAAGGGAAACCGAGUCUUAACUGGGCGUUAAGUUGCAGGGUAUAGACCCGAAACCCGGUGAUCUAGCCAUGGGCAGGUUGAAGGUUGGGUAACACUAACUGGAGGACCGAACCGACUAAUGUUGAAAAAUUAGCGGAUGACUUGUGGCUGGGGGUGAAAGGCCAAUCAAACCGGGAGAUAGCUGGUUCUCCCCGAAAGCUAUUUAGGUAGCGCCUCGUGAAUUCAUCUCCGGGGGUAGAGCACUGUUUCGGCAAGGGGGUCAUCCCGACUUACCAACCCGAUGCAAACUGCGAAUACCGGAGAAUGUUAUCACGGGAGACACACGGCGGGUGCUAACGUCCGUCGUGAAGAGGGAAACAACCCAGACCGCCAGCUAAGGUCCCAAAGUCAUGGUUAAGUGGGAAACGAUGUGGGAAGGCCCAGACAGCCAGGAUGUUGGCUUAGAAGCAGCCAUCAUUUAAAGAAAGCGUAAUAGCUCACUGGUCGAGUCGGCCUGCGCGGAAGAUGUAACGGGGCUAAACCAUGCACCGAAGCUGCGGCAGCGACGCUUAUGCGUUGUUGGGUAGGGGAGCGUUCUGUAAGCCUGCGAAGGUGUGCUGUGAGGCAUGCUGGAGGUAUCAGAAGUGCGAAUGCUGACAUAAGUAACGAUAAAGCGGGUGAAAAGCCCGCUCGCCGGAAGACCAAGGGUUCCUGUCCAACGUUAAUCGGGGCAGGGUGAGUCGACCCCUAAGGCGAGGCCGAAAGGCGUAGUCGAUGGGAAACAGGUUAAUAUUCCUGUACUUGGUGUUACUGCGAAGGGGGGACGGAGAAGGCUAUGUUGGCCGGGCGACGGUUGUCCCGGUUUAAGCGUGUAGGCUGGUUUUCCAGGCAAAUCCGGAAAAUCAAGGCUGAGGCGUGAUGACGAGGCACUACGGUGCUGAAGCAACAAAUGCCCUGCUUCCAGGAAAAGCCUCUAAGCAUCAGGUAACAUCAAAUCGUACCCCAAACCGACACAGGUGGUCAGGUAGAGAAUACCAAGGCGCUUGAGAGAACUCGGAUGAAGGAACUAGGCAAAAUGGUGCCGUAACUUCGGGAGAAGGCACGCUGAUAUGUAGGUGAAGUCCCUUGCGGAUGGAGCUGAAAUCAGUCGAAGAUACCAGCUGGCUGCAACUGUUUAUUAAAAACACAGCACUGUGCAAACACGAAAGUGGACGUAUACGGUGUGACGCCUGCCCGGUGCCGGAAGGUUAAUUGAUGGGGUCAGCGCAAGCGAAGCUCUUGAUCGAAGCCCCGGUAAACGGCGGCCGUAACUAUAACGGUCCUAAGGUAGCGAAAUUCCUUGUCGGGUAAGUUCCGACCUGCACGAAUGGCGUAAUGAUGGCCAGGCUGUCUCCACCCGAGACUCAGUGAAAUUGAACUCGCUGUGAAGAUGCAGUGUACCCGCGGCAAGACGGAAAGACCCCGUGAACCUUUACUAUAGCUUGACACUGAACAUUGAGCCUUGAUGUGUAGGAUAGGUGGGAGGCUUUGAAGUGUGGACGCCAGUCUGCAUGGAGCCGGCCUUGAAAUACCACCCUUUAAUGUUUGAUGUUCUAACGUGGACCCGUGAUCCGGGUUGCGGACAGUGUCUGGUGGGUAGUUUGACUGGGGCGGUCUCCUCCUAAAGAGUAACGGAGGAGCACGAAGGUUGGCUAAUCCUGGUCGGACAUCAGGAGGUUAGUGCAAUGGCAUAAGCCAGCUUGACUGCGAGCGUGACGGCGCGAGCAGGUGCGAAAGCAGGUCAUAGUGAUCCGGUGGUUCUGAAUGGAAGGGCCAUCGCUCAACGGAUAAAAGGUACUCCGGGGAUAACAGGCUGAUACCGCCCAAGAGUUCAUAUCGACGGCGGUGUUUGGCACCUCGAUGUCGGCUCAUCACAUCCUGGGGCUGAAGUAGGUCCCAAGGGUAUGGCUGUUCGCCAUUUAAAGUGGUACGCGAGCUGGGUUUAGAACGUCGUGAGACAGUUCGGUCCCUAUCUGCCGUGGGCGCUGGAGAACUGAGGGGGGCUGCUCCUAGUACGAGAGGACCGGAGUGGACGCAUCACUGGUGUUCGGGUUGUCAUGCCAAUGGCACUGCCCGGUAGCUAAAUGCGGAAGAGAUAAGUGCUGAAAGCAUCUAAGCACGAAACUUGCCCCGAGAUGAGUUCUCCCUGACCCUUUAAGGGUCCUGAAGGAACGUUGAAGACGACGACGUUGAUAGGCCGGGUGUGUAAGCGCAGCGAUGCGUUGAGCUAACCGGUACUAAUGAACCGUGAGGCUUAACCUUACAACGCCGAAG